AUGGAUCAGCUGACUUUUGUUGUGAUGUUGUUUCUCAGUGUGAUGUCAUCAGGACUAGGCGGAGCCUUCGUUCCAGUCUUACUAAGUUCCAAACUUCCAUCCGCUCACCUGUCCAUCAGAUCCUUAAGCCACGCCCCGCCAUCCCUCCCUGCUAUGACCAUAACUUUCCUGAUGCCCCGCCCCCAGCCUGCUGAGGUGAUGAUGAUGCUGAUGGAGGUGUUGUUGAUGAUGAUGAUGAUGAUGAUGAUGAUGUUCUGUUUUCAGACCCUGGCCCAGCUCACCCUGGUCCUCCAGGCUCUGUGUCACGGUGUUGAUCAGGCAGCACUACGCUCACACACACCCCCACGGGUCGUCCAAUCACUGCUUGAGCAAGCGAGGCACGACCGGUUGGAGGGUGGGUGGGGCUGGGGGGCGGAGCCUCUGGCUGAGUGGGUGCUGACCCGCAGAGAGCAGCAGCUUAGCGUGUGCGAGGACAUUCUGUUGCAGACGGCCAGGACGGCGCUGAGGCGUGUCCACUACGGGGUGGGUCAGGAUCACCACGGGAAGUGGACUCAGCCUGAGCUCAGAGCAUGCUACGCCUGGACCGUGGACUUCCUGCUCAGACAGGAAGUGGGUCUGCACAGGAUCACAGGGACCAAACUGCCACGGGCGGUUCAGGAGAGGAGCCAGUGCUACGCCCACAGUCUGCAGGCUCAGGUUAGUGAGAGAACAUGCAAACCUCUCCUAUCACACGCCGCCAUGUCCCCAAACACACGCUGCUGCGUCACCAACACUAGGGACAGGCAUCCAGCACAUGGGGGGGUGCGACAAGUGGGUGGGGUAGAGCGCACUGAGCUCACCAAGCAUAGUGACGGAGCGCAUGUGGGGCGCGCUUAUUGGACCUGGGGGAGGUCGUGCGGAGAGCGUACACAUGCAGCACAUACACGAUUCCACACCAAAGAGGAGGAGCUCAUCAGAAUUAUCAUGGAGGGACCAGAACUGAUGGACUAUGAUACCAGGACAGAUGUUCAGCUGUGGUUCUCUCAGAGCAGGGGUCUGCAACCUGUGGUUCUGGGGCCUAAUGUGGCCCUUUGA
RNAcentral lists this long non-coding RNA (1074 nucleotides) under Gouania willdenowi (blunt-snouted clingfish). RNAcentral describes it as "lncRNA (ENSGWIG00000024151.1)". Lineage: Eukaryota; Metazoa; Chordata; Actinopteri; Blenniiformes; Gobiesocidae. The record is from RNAcentral.